GGAUGCGAUCAUACCAGCACUAAAGCACCGGAUUCCAUCAGAACUCCGAAGUUACGCGUGCUUGGGCGAGAGUAGUACUAGGAUGGGUGACCUCCUGGGAAGUCCUCGUGUUGCAUUCC
Molecule: ribosomal RNA, 119 nt
Filed under: Triticum aestivum (bread wheat)
Lineage: Eukaryota; Viridiplantae; Streptophyta; Magnoliopsida; Poales; Poaceae
Source: RNAcentral